UUUACAUUUUUGUAUGCACAAUUUCUGCAUUAUGCCCACAAGAAAAAAAGAAAAUAAUACAUACUUAAGAAAAAGAAACAUACGUAAAACACUUGCAUUAUGCAUUUACCAACAAUGACAGAAAUGCUGAAAUAAACAAAUUAUAAACUUUCAUGAAUAGUAUAAGUAUACAUAAUAUGUAUACUAACAAGUAAAUAACAAAAAAUGUGUGUCCAACCAGCACUGAAGUCUGCUACAAAACAUCUAAAAACAAUAAUAAGCCUCUAUAAGACACCAUGCCCAAUUAACAGUAGCAUAAACAUGAUAAACUACAAAAUCUUUUCUGUCCAAUUAUAAGCAUUUUGUGUCAAAAUAUAUUUUAUGUAUAGGAUAUUUGUGUCAAUAUGUAUCUAUAACAAAUUUGUGUCAUUUAGAAUUAUCUUUUGUGAUGAAUUGAUUGACAAAUAAAUUAUAGAAUAAUUGCAAUACAUAUUAGAGAGAACAACAAACCAUAUAAUAACUGGCCUCCUCCGAAUAUAUAUAAAGGCGAUACCUAACGCUACAGGGAGAUAACUCUGUAAAAUCAGCUAAACGUUUUAAUUACGUUGUGUUGUUUUGGGAAUAUUAAGCUUCUCGAUGAUCAAAAUAAGUGUUUGUCAAACUGCUAUAUAACCAGUGUAAUUUUUCUGUUAAAACGGUUAAUUAAAAUUUUU
RNAcentral lists this long non-coding RNA (692 nucleotides) under Mytilus galloprovincialis (Mediterranean mussel). The record is from RNAcentral. Lineage: Eukaryota; Metazoa; Mollusca; Bivalvia; Mytilida; Mytilidae.